RNAcentral lists this ribosomal RNA (253 nucleotides) under uncultured bacterium. RNAcentral's name for it is "partial 16S ribosomal RNA". It matches the Rfam family "Bacterial small subunit ribosomal RNA", at positions 524 to 776 of the family's 1533-position model. The record is from RNAcentral.
UACGUAGGGGGCAAGCGUUGUCCGGAUUUAUUGGGCGUAAAGGGCGCGUAGGCGGUCACGCACGUCCGUUGUGAAAUCGCUCGGCUCAACUGGGCGGGGUCAGCGGAUACGGCGUGGCUGGAGCAAGCUAGGGGGCAAUGGAAUUCCCGGUGUAGUGGUGGAAUGCGUAGAUAUCGGGAGGAACACCAGUGGCGAAGGCGGUUGCCUGGAGCUUUGCUGACGCUGAUGCGCGAAAGCGUGGGGAGCGAACAGG